Molecule: ribosomal RNA, 468 nt
Filed under: uncultured bacterium
Lineage: Bacteria
Description: partial 16S ribosomal RNA
Rfam family: Bacterial small subunit ribosomal RNA
Source: RNAcentral
GACGAACGCUGGCGGCGUGCUUAACACAUGCAAGUCGAACGGAAAGGCCCUGCUUUUGUGGGGUGCUCGAGUGGCGAACGGGUGAGUAACACGUGAGUAACCUGCCCUUGACUUUGGGAUAACUUCAGGAAACUGGGGCUAAUACCGGAUAGGAGCUCCUGCUGCAUGGUGGGGGUUGGAAAGUUUCGGCGGUUGGGGAUGGACUCGCGGCUUAUCAGCUUGUUGGUGGGGUAGUGGCUUACCAAGGCUUUGACGGGUAGCCGGCCUGAGAGGGUGACCGGCCACAUUGGGACUGAGAUACGGCCCAGACUCCUACGGGAGGCAGUAGUGGGGAAUAUUGCACAAUGGGCGGAAGCCUGAUGCAGCAACGCCGCGUGCGGGAUGACGGCCUUCGGGUUGUAAACCGCUGUCGCCUGUGACGAAGCGUGAGUGACGGUAAUGGGUAAAGAAGCACCGGCUAACUACGUG